GCCCAGGUGGCGGAAUUGGUAGACGCGCUGGCUUCAGGUGCCAGUGGCCUUUACGGCCGUGGAAGUUCGAGUCUUCUCCUGGGCACCA
Molecule: transfer RNA, 88 nt
Filed under: Thermopetrobacter sp.
Lineage: Bacteria; Pseudomonadati; Pseudomonadota; Alphaproteobacteria
Description: tRNA-Leu
Rfam family: tRNA
About the family: Transfer RNA (tRNA) molecules are approximately 80 nucleotides in length. Their secondary structure includes four short double-helical elements and three loops (D, anti-codon, and T loops). Further hydrogen bonds mediate the characteristic L-shaped molecular structure. tRNAs have two regions of fundamental functional importance: the anti-codon, which is responsible for specific mRNA codon recognition, and the 3' end, to which the tRNAs corresponding amino acid is attached (by aminoacyl-tRNA synthetases). tRNAs cope with the degeneracy of the genetic code in two manners: having more than one tRNA (with a specific anti-codon) for a particular amino acid; and 'wobble' base-pairing, i.e. permitting non-standard base-pairing at the 3rd anti-codon position.
Source: RNAcentral